Molecule: non-coding RNA, 70 nt
Organism: Rattus norvegicus (Norway rat)
Lineage: Eukaryota; Metazoa; Chordata; Mammalia; Rodentia; Muridae
Source: Rfam
GGGGAUUUAGCUCAGUGGUAGAGCGCUUGCCUAAGGAAGCGCAAGGCCCUGGGUUCGGUCCCCAGCUCCG